GAUGAACGCUGGCGGCGUGCUUAACACAUGCAAGUCGAACGGAAAGGCCUCUGCUUGCAGGGGUACUCGAGUGGCGAACGGGUGAGUAACACGUGGGUGAUCUGCCCUGCACUUCGGGAUAAGCCUGGGAAACUGGGUCUAAUACCGGAUAGGACAAUGGGUUGGAUGCUGUUGUGGAAAGUUUUUCGGUGUGGGAUGAGCUCGCGGCCUAUCAGCUUGUUGGUGGGGUAAUGGCCUACCAAGGCGUCGACGGGUAGCCGGCCUGAGAGGGUGUACGGCCACAUUGGGACUGGGAAACGGCCCAGACUCCUGCGGGAGGCAGGAGUGGGGAAUAUUGAACAAUGGGCGCUAGCCUGAUGCAGCGACGCGGCGUGGGGGAUGACGGCCUUCGGGUUGUAAACUCCUUUCGCUAGGGACGAGGCGUUUUUGUGACGGUACCGGGAGAAGAAGCACCGGCUAACUACGUG
Molecule: ribosomal RNA, 467 nt
Filed under: uncultured bacterium
Lineage: Bacteria
Description: partial 16S ribosomal RNA
Rfam family: Bacterial small subunit ribosomal RNA
Source: RNAcentral